This 299-nucleotide ribosomal RNA is filed under the name uncultured bacterium. RNAcentral describes it as "partial 16S ribosomal RNA". It matches the Rfam family "Bacterial small subunit ribosomal RNA", at positions 28 to 334 of the family's 1533-position model. The record is from RNAcentral.
GAUGAACGCUGGCGGCGUGCCUAAUACAUGCAAGUCGGACGGAGCGCUUCGGCGCUCAGUGGCGAACGGGUGAGUAGCACAUGGGCAACCUGCCCUUCAGAGGGGGACAACAGCUGGAAACGGUGACUAAUACCGCAUGUCAUCGCCGAGGGGCAUCCCUUGGUGAAAAAAGGAGCAAUUCGGUAUAGGAUGGGCCCGCAUCUGAUUAGCUAGUUGGUGAGAUAACAGCCCACCAAGGCGACGAUCAGUAGCCGACCUGAGAGGGUGAUCGGCCACAUUGGGACUGAGACACGGCCCAA